UACAUAAAAGGGAAAUGUAAUAACAUCGCUGACUUUUUGAGGACGAAAUAAACCUAAUGGAAAUUGAAUCCACCAAUGAUGAAGAAAACAGAUCCCUAGCAGCUCAAAUUCAUUCUAAAGAAGAGGAUCAGGAAAAGAAACUCGAAACACCGUACAGGUGUUCGACAACAAGAGCAAGAAAGACGUAGAAGACAACCAAGCAAUAAACAUUCUCCGACGGGAAAUAACAACAGGAAAAAUAGGAGUUUUUUCACAUCUAAGUGACCAUGAAUUCUACCAAUUACAAAAAAUAAUAGCAAAGGAAUACACUUCCAGCCCAAAAAUAAAAUUUGUAAAGUGCACUAGGUUAUUUACGGAUAUCGAGUCUGAAGAUGAACUACAUACCCAAAUAGCCUUAUUUCACAAAAACGAAAGUGGCCAUUGCGGGAUAGUUGCCACUUAUCAGAAGCUUAAGCUCGAAAUUUACCACCCCGACCUUAAGACCCAUAUCCAUAGAAUAAUCAAUAACUGUGAUGUUUGUAGUGGUGGGAAAUAGGAUUGAAAACCCAU
Molecule: long non-coding RNA, 549 nt
Organism: Drosophila arizonae
Lineage: Eukaryota; Metazoa; Arthropoda; Insecta; Diptera; Drosophilidae
Source: RefSeq, a predicted model, not a curated record